UGGGACCGUGGGGUAGCUUGGUAUCCUGCCAGCUUGGGGUGUUGGCAACUUGAGUUCAAAUCUCAACGGUCCCAUCCA
Molecule: transfer RNA, 78 nt
Filed under: Thermogymnomonas acidicola
Lineage: Archaea; Methanobacteriati; Thermoplasmatota; Thermoplasmata; Thermoplasmatales
Also listed under: 1 other name
Description: tRNA-Pro
Rfam family: tRNA
About the family: Transfer RNA (tRNA) molecules are approximately 80 nucleotides in length. Their secondary structure includes four short double-helical elements and three loops (D, anti-codon, and T loops).
Source: RNAcentral